AAUAAAUGCAGGGAUGCCUCGGCUCGGCGCAGUCGGACGCCUCCCUCCGCGCAUUGGACGCUUUGCCACCCGCCCGCCUUCCAGCCACUGCAGGACCCCCUGGAUGCAAUCCAGCUCAACUGUGGCUGAGAAAACAUACCCUGUACUUCCCAGAGCUGUUAAUCUGCUCAACUCUUAGGCAGAUACUUUUCCUUCUCAUGAAGAUCUCCAUUAAGAAAGCUGCAAGUUUUGGGGGAAUAAUAUCUGUGAUGUCUGGCCACUGAUUCUCAAGGUUAGUUCCAAACGAGCACUGAGAAAG
This 298-nucleotide long non-coding RNA is filed under the name Urocitellus parryii (Arctic ground squirrel). Its description in RNAcentral is "lncRNA (ENSUPAG00010009737.1)". Lineage: Eukaryota; Metazoa; Chordata; Mammalia; Rodentia; Sciuridae. The record is from RNAcentral.